Molecule: long non-coding RNA, 738 nt
Filed under: Prunus persica (peach)
Lineage: Eukaryota; Viridiplantae; Streptophyta; Magnoliopsida; Rosales; Rosaceae
Description: long non-coding RNA (PPER_LNC002898)
Source: RNAcentral
UGUAAUCCAUGGCGUCAACGAGUCAACGACCCCUCCUCAUCGCCCUCCUAACCCUCUCGAUCUUCGCAAUCUCAGCCACCGCAACAAGGCCCUGCAAGACCCUCUUCAUUUCCUCCUACUCAUUCUCCCUCCGUCGUCUCCCCUCCUCCUCUUCCUCCUCCGGCUUCGUCACCGUCGUCACCGAGAUCAGCCGACUCCGCCCCGUACGCUACGACGACCUUGUCCUCCAACCCCACGAAGAAGAUGAUAAGCGAACUCAGGCGGCGUCGCUCUUUCCCUUGAUCGGAACGUCGUCGGCCUCCUCCUCGUCCUACGACCUCAACUCUCUCCGCGAUCGCACCAGGGACAUCCUGAGCAUCGUCGUUUCCCUGCUCUUCGGCGUCGGCUGCGGCGCUCUCACCGCCGCUACCAUGUACUUGGCUUGGUCCGUCUUCUUCAGUCGCUACGACAAUGGCUCUGCGUCUUCCUUCGAUGACGAUUUCUAUGACGCCAGCCCUAAGAAGAUAGGUUAUGUAAAGAUUCCGGAGGUGGCCGCUGACUCCGUGCCAACACCACCGUCUCCAGUCAAGGAAGCCGCCGCGGUGUGAAUAUGACGAUUAUGGCAAAUUGGUAAUUCCAUAAAUAAUUUAUAAUUUAAAAAAAUGUUGCCUUUGGAUGAUGGGCACGUUGUGACUGUGUUGUGGAUUCGUGAUAAAAUAAGCUUAUAUCGGACGCUGUGUUAUGUAUUUAUCAUUUUAU